Molecule: ribosomal RNA, 497 nt
Filed under: uncultured bacterium
Lineage: Bacteria
Description: partial 16S ribosomal RNA
Rfam family: Bacterial small subunit ribosomal RNA
Source: RNAcentral
GAUGAACGCUGGCGGCGUGCCUAAUACAUGCAAGUCGAGCGAACAGACGAGGAGCUUGCUCCUCUGACGUUAGCGGCGGACGGGUGAGUAGCACGUGGAUAACCUACCUAUAAGACUGGGAUAACUUCGGGAAACCGGAGCUAAUACCGGAUAAUAUAUUGAACCGCAUGGUUCAAUAGUGAAAGACGGUUUUGCUGUCACUUAUAGAUGGAUCCGCGCCGAAUUAGCUAGUUGGUAAGGUAACGGCUUACCAAGGCAACGAUGCGUAGCCGACCUGAGAGGGUGAUGGGCCACACGGGAACGGAGACACGGUCAAGACUCCUACGGGAGGCAGCAGAAGGGAAUCUUCCGAAAUGGGCGAAAGCCUGACGGAGCAACGCCGCGGGAGGGAGGAAGUUCUUCGGAUCUUAAAACUCUGUUAUUAGGGAAGAACAAAUGUGUAAGUAACUAUGCACGUCUUGACGGUACCUAAUCAGAAAGCCACGGCUAACUACGUG